This 280-nucleotide ribosomal RNA is filed under the name uncultured bacterium. Its description in RNAcentral is "partial 16S ribosomal RNA". It matches the Rfam family "Bacterial small subunit ribosomal RNA", at positions 74 to 354 of the family's 1533-position model. The record is from RNAcentral.
CCUGCCGUUGCCGGCGACCGGCGCACGGGUGAGUAACACGUAUGCAACCUGCCCGUGGCAGGGGGAUAAGCGGGGGAAACCCCGUCUAAUACCGCGUAACGCGGCCUUGGGGCAUCCCAAGGCCGCCAAAGGGAGCAAUCCCGGCCACGGAUGGGCAUGCGGCGCAUUAGCUAGUCGGCGGGGUAACGGCCCACCGAGGCGACGAUGCGUAGGGGUUCUGAGAGGAAGGCCCCCCCCACUGGUACUGAGGCACGGACCAGACUCCUACGGAAGGCAGCAG